This 1549-nucleotide long non-coding RNA is filed under the name Equus caballus (horse). RNAcentral describes it as "lncRNA (ENSECAG00000049491.1)". Lineage: Eukaryota; Metazoa; Chordata; Mammalia; Perissodactyla; Equidae. The record is from RNAcentral.
UGGGAAGGCAUGGAGGAGGAGCCAGGCCUAGACCCGGUUCUGGAGGCCACCUGUGGAGUUCCUUCAGCAAGUGCGAAGCAGUGCGGGCUGUGGGGUUAAAGAUGGGCUGGCAGCAGUGGGAGAGGGUGUCGGGGAGUGAGCUCUCAGGCAGGGAGCCAGUGUGGACUCUGCUUGAGACAGGAUGAGGGGGCUCAAAGCCAGAGGCAGUGGGAUGGCGUGCAAGGGAGAGCAGCCCUGGUCUUGAGCGUGGUGAGGGACAAGGAGGAAUCAGGGCGCUUCUCAGCUCUCUGCCAAGGCAGAGAAUCUGUGCUGCUUAUCAAGAGAAAACACAAGUAGGAGCAGAUCCAAAGGAUGCAAGACAGCAAGUUCAGCAACGGCAGACCAAGUGUGACCAAGGAGAUGGGUAACAGCAGCUAACCUUUGUUGAGAAUUGACUGAGAGACUUUGCAAAGCACUUUAUAUUGUCUUAUUUGAUCCACAAGACAAUUGGGUAAGGCGGAUGCUGUUUUCUCUUCUUUUUUUUUUUUUUUUGUGAGGAAGAUUGACCCUGAGUUAUCAUCUUUUGCCAAUCUUCCUCUUUUUCUUUUUGCUUCAAGAAGAUUAGCCCUGAGCUAACGUCUGUGCCACUCUGCCUCCAUUUUGUAUGUGGGUCACUGCCCCAGCAUGGCUGAUGAGUGGUGUAGAUCCACGCCCAGGAUCCGAACCCAUGAACCCAGGCUGCCAAAGCAGAGCGUGUGAAACUUAACCACUAUGCCACAGGGCUGGCCUCUCUAUUCUCUUUCACAGAUGAGAUCACUAAGGCUCAGAGAGGUGAGGGGAUUUGCCCUAGAUCACACAGCUAAAAGCAAUGGAGGCAGGAUCGGCAUUUACAUUGUUCGAUUUCAGGGUCUGGCUCCUUAGCUGUGACCCUACAAUGCCAGUAGAAACUUCAGACGUGGACCUAGAGCUGGGAAAUGAGAUUUGGGGUCCUUUUGUCGGGUGCCAUCAAGUCUGUAAGAGCAGGGUGUUUGCAGAGGUCACUUAGGGAUCGGAGGCCUCUCAGGGGCUUGACCUGCGGCCCCGGGACUGUAGCUCUGCCAAGAUGCAUGUGCCCCCUGGGACCAGGAUGUGAAUUUCAGCUGAGGCUAGGCAGCGCUAGUUAUUAAUUAUAACACAUUAAUUACGACAUUCGGGGAAUGCUCGAAAUGGAGGCCCGCAACCCUCUCCCAAGGCCAUAUCUUGUCUCAUAUUUCUCACUUGAAGCCGUAACGAAGGCCUGGAAUUAAAGGCAGGUCGGCCCUCGCUCUGGUUGGCAUUGAGGUGGGUGGGGAGAACCAUAUCAUCGCUCCUCUGACUUUCAAAUGCUGACCUUUCCACAAGAGAAGCUACAAAGACAUGUCGAGGGAUGGAGCAAGGAGCCCAGGGAAAUGCACGUUCCAACAGGAGGUUAGGACCCAAAGAAGAAGCAACACCUUGCAAUAAAUUUAGCCAAGAAACAGUGAAUUCGACUGGGCUUGUGUUUUUUAUAGAAAGACAAAGUUUGUGUUUUCAAUAAUUAUCCCACAUAAAG